AAAAGGCGAUCUUCAUUCAUGCCCCAUUCCGGGUCAUGGCGUGACGCCUAUUAUAUCCGGAUCGGGGAAAUACCGC
RNAcentral lists this small RNA (76 nucleotides) under Paramesorhizobium leguminum. RNAcentral describes it as "Phyllobacterium leguminum Pseudomonas sRNA P10". Lineage: Bacteria; Pseudomonadati; Pseudomonadota; Alphaproteobacteria; Hyphomicrobiales; Phyllobacteriaceae. The record is from RNAcentral.